This is a long non-coding RNA of Ornithodoros turicata, 2162 nucleotides long. RefSeq lists it as uncharacterized. The transcript has 3 exons. The record is from RefSeq and is a predicted model, not a curated record. Lineage: Eukaryota; Metazoa; Arthropoda; Arachnida; Ixodida; Argasidae.
AAAAUGGCGGCGGAGAGGUGAUCGCGGAGUUGUUGUGUUUUAUCCGUAUGUGUAGUUAUUUCGCUGGGUCGCGUUCAGUCGUGAGGUCAUGCCUUGACAUAAAACCUGAAAAGAAGAGGCAGAGAGCAUCCUUCAAGUGCUAUUUCCGCUCACAUAUGUGAUAACGAUUCGACCCGAUCAGGAUACGUUUCUGCGAAGACAGGCGUGUGCUGUGGAAGAAGCCGUCCUCAAAGCAGCCCAUGUAAUCUACUGCGCGCCGUAUCGCGUGAAAAUGGCAACAGUAUAUUUAUCAGCCUGAUUCUUCAGACCAGCAAUCUCAAAAGUCCACCGGAAAACGUAUUCAUGCACAUGCAGAGCGUGAGGAAGGCGUACACACGUUAUUGCUGGGUUAUUGUUGAUACACAAGAUAGGCAUCAACAAUGUUGUCGUUUUGGACUCUCCUCUACGGAUGUGGAGCAACGGUGGGGUAAAUGUCCAAGACUAAUAUUAUUAAACCGGCAAAGGGAAUAGUCUUGUGCAAUAUCAACCAAGCUCUGGCUGUUCAAUUCGACAACAGGCAACUUGAAGACAUUCAACAUGAUUUCAUCAAAGCAUCUCCGUGCUGCGCUCUAUAUAGCUUUGCUCAAGAAAAAUGCUUUAAUCCAACCAUGCGUCAGCUAACCAGAGGACCACCCACACGAACGAUAUACUGACAGUGCAAAUAGUGAAGCCUUAAUCAAUAACAUAUUAUGUGACUUCCUAUCUAGUGUUGUUAACAGUUUUCUAUCAAGUAGCAUUUUACGACAUUGGUCAUUUUAAAAUUUAUAAAUGCUCACUACAAGAGGCAGCAACCUCUGUCUGUUAUGUUUAUGAGAGUAACGUUGCCAUUCCCCUUGAACCCAAUGCAAUCUGCAAUGGCAAAGGAACAACAACAAUAACAAAUAAAUCAUGACUAUGACCUGGGGUGAUUCACCACUGGAGAGCAGUACACUACCCAAUUACACGCCAAAGGAACGUUCCUUCUCGAUGUCAAGUCACAAUAUCUGUUUCUUUAUUCAAAGGUUGAAGCGCGGCUAUAGUUGUUAAAAGGAUGACCAAUACAUUACUGAAAUGACCAGAAGGUUAUGCUAUGUGUACUUCUCUCACAUUCUCCCUCACGUGUCAUCAUUUCAUGUGUCACAGGUACUGUGUGAAUACAAUACCGAAAAACAUUUUUUAGCUCUUAUACAAACAUUGUUUGUGUUUGAGGUGUGAGAAUUAGCCCAGUGCAAUAUUUUAGAUUAUUUAUUCAGUUCACCAGUGUACCAGGGCUUCUUACAGUUAUUAUGAGAAGUGCAAUAUUUUGUUGUAUCCUGCUUUGCAAAUAAAUUCGGAAUAUUUUAGCAGCUCUUUAUACUGUGCAAAAAGAAAAACUCUGUGGCUUCUUGUGACUUAUGAAGAAAGCAUAAAAACUGUUUUGCAGUGUUUAUUUGUAUUUUUGUUUGUUUUUGUUAGAGCACUAUCUACACAUAUGCACAUCUUACGAACGCCAGCAGGAAUGCUAAAUGACACACAGACGAUAGACGAUCUUUGUAGAAGUACAAAGAGCAAGAGAAUGGGUUUAUUUGCAAAUAAGCUAUAGUUUUUGCAGUACGUGAGUACGGGGAAUGUCUUCAUUUUAGCUCCUGACGAGCGCAAAAAAGCUUCCGCUGCAACAUAGACCGUCUACUUAAACUUUUAAUAACUUAGUUGUAAAUAAACAACCCAUUCUCUUACGAUUUGUACCUUGUGCUGAUCGAUUCACGUGCGAAUAAACAUUCCGUUAGAUGUUCCGUUGAAACAGUCAGCACUUCCAACGAGUCACCAAAUAUUAUUUACGUCGUUGCCUGUGUACCGGUGUCCAACGCGUGUUACCCAUUACGGCUUCUCGAAUUCAGCAUUAUGUACUCGAUACACGGUGAUUUUCAAAUUUAUUUUACUUCACAAAAUAGUAUAGAUUAUCAUAGCUAUGUGGAACUUUUCUACGAACUUUGUGUUUCCUCUCAUAUCAACCUCUGUGAAGUAGGGUUGGGUCCUUUGGCUACCAGGGGUAAACAUCCCAUGUCAUCAUAACUUCUGUAUCAUUUAUUGUUGUUGUUGUACAUGCUUCCGAAUUUCGAGAUAUAUAGAGAAACUCUUUCAUUAAAUGGAAUACAUUAAUCAUA